This 355-nucleotide ribosomal RNA is filed under the name uncultured bacterium. RNAcentral's name for it is "partial 16S ribosomal RNA". It matches the Rfam family "Bacterial small subunit ribosomal RNA", at positions 338 to 710 of the family's 1533-position model. The record is from RNAcentral.
CCUACGGGCGGCAGCAGUGGGGAAUAUUGCACAAUGGGGGAAACCCUGAUGCAGCGAAGCCGCGUGAGUGAAGAAGUAUUUCGGUAUGUAAAGCUCUAUCAGUAGGGAAAAUAAUGAAGGUACGUGACUAAGAAGCCCCGGCUAACGACGUGCCAGCAGCAGCGGUAAUACGGAGGGUGCAAGCGUUAUCCGGAUUUACUGGGUGUAAAGGGUGCGUAGGUGGCAGGGCAAGUCAGAUGUGAAAGCCCGGGGCUCAACCCCGGUACUGCAUUUGAAACUGGCCAGCUUGAGUGCAGGAGAGGUAAGCGGAAUUCCUAGUGUAGCGGUGAAAUGCGUAGAUAUCAGGAAGAACUCC